This 275-nucleotide ribosomal RNA is filed under the name uncultured bacterium. Its description in RNAcentral is "partial 16S ribosomal RNA". It matches the Rfam family "Bacterial small subunit ribosomal RNA", at positions 523 to 796 of the family's 1533-position model. The record is from RNAcentral.
ACACGUAGGGCGCAAGCGUUGUCGGGAUUUAUUGGGCGUAAAGGGCUCGUAGGCGGUUUCGUAAGUCGGGUGUGAAAACUCAGGGCUCAACCCUGAGGCGCCACUCGAUACUGCGAUGACUUGAGUCCGGUAGGGGAGCAGGGAAUUCCUGGUGUAGCGGUGAAGUGCGCAGAUAUCAGGAGGAACACCAUUAGCGAAGGCGCUGCUCUGGGCCGGUACUGACGCUGAGGAGCGAAAGCAUGGGGAGCAAACAGGAUUAGAAACCCUAGUAGUCC